CAACAGGGAUUGCCCUAGUAACGGCGAGUGAAGCGGCAACAGCUCAAAUUUGAAAUCUGGCCUUUGGUCCGAAUUGUAAUUUGUAGAGGAUGCUUUUGGUGCGGUGCCUUCCGAGUUCCCUGGAACGGGACGCCUUAGAGGGUGAGAGCCCCGUACGGUUGGAUGCCUAGCCUCUGUAAAGCUCCUUCAACGAGUCGAGUAGUUUGGGAAUGCUGCUCAAAAUGGGAGGUAAAUUUCUUCUAAAGCUAAAUACCGGCCAGAGACCGAUAGCGCACAAGUAGAGUGAUCGAAAGAUGAAAAGCACUUUGAAAAGAGGGUUAAAUAGCACGUGAAAUUGUUGAAAGGGAAGCGCUUAUGACCAGACUUUUUCCUGGCGGAUCAUCCAGUGUUCUCACUGGUGCACUUCGCCUGGUUUAGGCCAGCAUCGAUUUCCGUAGGGGGAUAAAAGCUUUGGGAAUGUGGCUCCUCCGGGAGUGUUAUAGCCCUUUGUAUAAUACCUUUAUGGGGAUCGAGGUACGCGCUUCUGCAAGGAUGCUGGCGUAAUGGUCAUCAGCGACCCGUCUG
RNAcentral lists this ribosomal RNA (564 nucleotides) under uncultured fungus. RNAcentral's name for it is "eukaryotic LSU rRNA". It matches the Rfam family "Eukaryotic large subunit ribosomal RNA", at positions 66 to 655 of the family's 3401-position model. Lineage: Eukaryota; Fungi. The record is from RNAcentral.